UUAAUAAAAGGUUGGAUACUAAAAUUUUAUUUGUUUUUCAUAAUUAAUUUGAGAAGUAUUUGGCGGUAUUUGGUUAAAUUCUGAGGAACUUGUUUAUUUAAAUUGAUAUUGCACAUUAAAUUUUAUCUGUAAAUUUAUUUUAUGUAUUGCUGUUUAAUUUAUUAUUUAUUAUAAGAAUAGAUUAAAAUGUACUUAAAUAAAAUAUUUCAAGUCAAAAUGUAGAUUUUUAUAGGGAUAAAUAAGUUACAUUUGUUUAGGAAAUACGAUUAACUGUAAAGUUUGUUGAAAAAUUAAUGAAUAAGGUUGGAUUAGGUAGUAAAAGAGAGAUAGUUAAUUUUUUUGAUAAUUUUUACCAGUAUGU
Molecule: ribosomal RNA, 361 nt
Filed under: Draculoides sp. SCH066
Lineage: Eukaryota; Metazoa; Arthropoda; Arachnida; Schizomida; Hubbardiidae
Description: partial small subunit ribosomal RNA
Source: RNAcentral